AAGCAGGGGAUCGCAAGACCUUGCGCUUUUGGAGUGGCCGAUGCCUGAUUAGCUAGUUGGUGGGGUAAUGGCCUACCAAGGCGACGAUCAGUAGUUGGUCUGAGAGGACGACCAGCCACACUGGGACUGAGACACGGCCCAGACUCCUACGGGAGGCAGCAGUGGGGAAUUUUGGACAAUGGGCGAAAGCCUGAUCCAGCAAUGCCGCGUGAGUGAAGAAGGCCUUCGGGUUGUAAAGCUCUUUCAGUCGAGAAGAAAAGGUUGUGACUAAUAAUCACAACUCAUGACGGUAUCGACAGAAGAAGCACCGGCUAACUACGUGCCAGCAGCCGCGGUAAUACGUAGGGUGCGAGCGUUAAUCGGAAUUACUGGGCGUAAAGGGUGCGCAGGCGGCUUUGUAAGUCAGAUGUGAAAUCCCCGGGCUUAACCUGGGAAUUGCGUUUGAAACUACAAAGCUUAG
Molecule: ribosomal RNA, 460 nt
Filed under: uncultured ammonia-oxidizing beta proteobacterium
Lineage: Bacteria; Pseudomonadati; Pseudomonadota; Betaproteobacteria
Description: bacterial SSU rRNA
Rfam family: Bacterial small subunit ribosomal RNA
Source: RNAcentral